RNAcentral lists this ribosomal RNA (253 nucleotides) under uncultured bacterium. Its description in RNAcentral is "partial 16S ribosomal RNA". It matches the Rfam family "Bacterial small subunit ribosomal RNA", at positions 524 to 776 of the family's 1533-position model. The record is from RNAcentral.
GACGUAGGGCGCGAGCGUUGUCCGGAUUUAUUGGGCGUAAAGAGCUCGUAGGUGGCUUGUCGCGUCUGUCGUGAAAGCCCGGGGCUUAACUCCGGGUCUGCGGUGGAUACGGGCAGGCUAGAGGCAGGUAGGGGAGAAUGGAAUUCCCGGUGUAGCGGUGAAAUGCGCAGAUAUCAGGAGGAACACCAACGGCGAAGGCAGCUCUCUGGGCCGGUACUGACGCUGAGGAGCGAAAGCGUGGGGAGCGAACAGG